UCCGAUUUGUCACCGGCAGUCUCCUAUGAGUCCCCGUCUUUCACCCGCUUUAACUAGCAUGUCAAGCCUAGGUAAGGUUCUUCGCGUUGCAUCGAAUUAAGCCACAUGCUCCGCCACUUGUGCGGGUCCCCGUCAAUUCCUUUGAGUUUUAGCCUUGCGGCCGUACUCCCCAGGCGGAGUGCUUAAUGCGUUAGCUGCGGCACGGAGAGGGUUGAAGACCUCCCCACACCUAGCACUCAACGUUUACGGCUGGGACUAC
RNAcentral lists this unclassified non-coding RNA (259 nucleotides) under uncultured Actinomycetes bacterium. Its description in RNAcentral is "uncultured actinobacterium contains 16S-23S intergenic spacer region". Lineage: Bacteria; Bacillati; Actinomycetota; Actinomycetes. The record is from RNAcentral.